Molecule: non-coding RNA, 659 nt
Filed under: Drosophila virilis
Lineage: Eukaryota; Metazoa; Arthropoda; Insecta; Diptera; Drosophilidae
Description: Eukaryotic large subunit ribosomal RNA
Rfam family: Eukaryotic large subunit ribosomal RNA
Source: Rfam by way of RNAcentral
UAGGAACCGUGAGAUUAAGCCAUCGCGGCAGGUGCUCACGUUAAGCCCACCGACUUUCAUGUCCCUAUCUACUAUCUAGCGAAACCACAGCCAAGGGAACGGGCUUGGAAUAAUUAGCGGGGAAAGAAGACCCUUUUGAGCUUGACUCUAAUCUGGCAGUGUAAGGAGACAUAAGAGGUGUAGAAUAAGUGGGAGAUAUUAGACUUCGGUUUUGGUAUCGACAAUGAAAUACCACUACUCUUAUUGUUUCCUUACUUACUUGAUUAAAUGCAACGUGUAUCAUUUCCUAGCCAUUAUACGGAUAUAAUUAUUGUCUUAUGGUAUUGGGUUUUGAUGCAAGCUUCUUGAUCAAAGUAUCACGAGUUUGUUAUAUAAUCGCAAACAAAUUCUUUAAUGAGAGAAUGCAUUUAUGUAUUAUUGAUUUAAAAAUUUGGUAUAACUCCAAUUACUCAGGUAUGAUCCAAUUCAAGGACAUUGCCAGGUAGGGAGUUUGACUGGGGCGGUACAUCUCUCAAAUAAUAACGGAGGUGUCCCAAGGCCAGCUCAGUGCGGACAGAAACCACACAUAGAGCAAAAGGGCAAAUGCUGACUUGAUCUCGGUGUUCAGUACACACAGGGACAGCAAAAGCUCGGCCUAUCGAUCCUUUUGGUUUAAAGAG